This 441-nucleotide ribosomal RNA is filed under the name uncultured Gammaproteobacteria bacterium. RNAcentral's name for it is "bacterial SSU rRNA". It matches the Rfam family "Bacterial small subunit ribosomal RNA", at positions 521 to 961 of the family's 1533-position model. The record is from RNAcentral. Lineage: Bacteria; Pseudomonadati; Pseudomonadota; Gammaproteobacteria.
UAAUACGGAAGGUCCAAGCGUUAAUCGGAAUUACUGGGCGUAAAGCGCGCGUACGUGGUUUAUUAAGUUGGAUGUGAAAUCCCCGGGCUCAACCUGGGAACUGCAUCCAAAACUGAUUCACUAUAGUACGAUAGAGGGAGGUAGAAUUCACAGUGUAGCGGUGGAAUGCGUACAUAUUGUGAAGAAUACCAAUGGCGAAGGCAGCCUCCUGGAUCUGUACUGACACUGAGGUGCGAAAGCGUGGGUAGCGAACAGGAUUAGAUACCCUGGUAGUCCACGCCGUAAACGAUGUCUACUAGCUGUUGGGGAACUAUGUUCUUCAGUGGCGCAGCUAACGUAGUAAGUUGACCGCCUGGGGAGUACCGCCGCAAGGCUAAAACUCAAAUGAAUUGACGGGGACCCGCACAAGCGGUGGAGCAUGUGGUUUAAUUCGAUGCAACG